GUUUGAUCAUGGCUCAGGAUGAACGCUGGCGGCGUGCUUAACACAUGCAAGUCGAACGGGGUGCUCAUGACGGAGGAUUCGUCCAACGGAUUGAGUUACCUAGUGGCGGACGGGUGAGUAACGCGUGAGGAACCUGCCUUGGAGAGGGGAAUAACACUCCGAAAGGAGUGCUAAUACCGCAUGAUGCAGUUGGGUCGCAUGGCUCUGACCGCCAAAGAUUUAUCGCUCUGAGAUGGCCUCGCGUCUGAUUAGCUAGUAGGCGGGGUAACGGCCCACCUAGGCGACGAUCAGUAGCCGGACUGAGAGGUUGACCGGCCACAUUGGGACUGAGACACGGCCCAGACUCCUACGGGAGGCAGCAGUGGGGAAUAUUGGGCAAUGGGCGCAAGCCUGACCCAGCAACGCCGCGUGAAGGAAGAAGGCUUUCGGGUUGUAAACUUCUUUUGUCGGGGACGAAACAAAUGACGGUACCCGACGAAUAAGCCACGGCUAACUACGUGCCAGCAGCCGCGGUAAUACGUAGGUGGCAAGCGUUAUCCGGAUUUACUGGGUGUAAAGGGCGUGUAGGCGGGAUUGCAAGUCAGAUGUGAAAACUGGGGGCUCAACCUCCAGCCUGCAUUUGAAACUGUAGU
This 632-nucleotide ribosomal RNA is filed under the name uncultured bacterium. Its description in RNAcentral is "bacterial SSU rRNA". It matches the Rfam family "Bacterial small subunit ribosomal RNA", at positions 11 to 639 of the family's 1533-position model. The record is from RNAcentral.